CUGAUCCUGUACACGGCCUCCUCAGCUGCAGGAGUUGUUGCAGUAUUCUGUAUUAUCCUCUGCACUGUGUGGAUUCACAGAAAAUGCAAAACAAGAACCAGGAAAAAUGAAGUUGAGCUUCAGCAGCCACAUGGAAGAAGAAUGGACAACGUUCAGGACAGACAAUAUUUUGAGAGAUUUAAUUCUUUAUAUGGACAAAUUGUCUCAUGAAUCCGGAACAGACUCCUCAGGCUCUUCUGGAAAGACCCUACACUAAAUGUUUCGUCAUUGCUCUGAUGAUUCGAGUUCAUUCAGGCAUGAGGUCCUUAGUGAGGUCAGGUUCUGAUUUUGGAUUCAUCAGUUCCACCACCCAAAGUACUGAAUGGAGCUCCAUCAUUUCAGAGAACACAGUUCCUCUGACCAGCAGCUCAAUGCUGGGGCCUUUUACCCCAGCGUACUCCACUGGACACUCUGCAUUGGACACGGUGAAUUUUCGCUGAAGUGCAGCAGCUUCUCCAGGGCUUUUCACUGUAGUGCCACAACUUUUUAAUGGAGAAUGUACAGCCUGUGUUAGCACCUUAAAGUAGCUGAAGAUGUAAUGUUGGACAUAUAUAGACACAUGCAUACAUGUAUUUAAAUUAUGUUUAUCUGUACUCAUUAAAGCAUCUCCUCUUCUGUACGUGGGGGACUGCUUUCCAGCAGGUUUCAUAUCAUGUAAAUGUAAUCUGAUGCACUUGAACUGUUUGAUUGUUUAAUGCAGAUUGAAUGCACUUUUUGCAAUGAACCAGCACCACCAAGAAACAUUAAAUCCAGAUGUCUGGUAAAAAAAAAA
Molecule: long non-coding RNA, 811 nt
Organism: Astyanax mexicanus (Mexican tetra)
Lineage: Eukaryota; Metazoa; Chordata; Actinopteri; Characiformes; Acestrorhamphidae
Exons: 4
Source: RefSeq, a predicted model, not a curated record